Cinara cedri is the source of this 3609-nucleotide non-coding RNA. Lineage: Eukaryota; Metazoa; Arthropoda; Insecta; Hemiptera; Aphididae. The record is from the annotation of a GenBank genome assembly.
GUAGUAAGAAAAAGUAAAAACAUGCAUAGUAUGAAUAGUUAACUAGUAAUUACUAACUACUGUUUGUACUUUUGUAGAAAAUAUAACUAUAAAAAAAUUGUACCUACUACCUAGGUACUAUGAAUUAUGUAAUAUAAUUUGUAAUAUUAUUUUAUUUAAUAUAAUAAUUGUCUUAGAUCUACUAUUCAUCGUGUUUUAUUCGUCAGUGUACUAAUGUUUGUUUACUCGAUUUUAAUCGUCGUGCUAUUAACUGUGUUUUAUGUAUAAUCGGUGCGUUGAAUUUUAACAAAAUGAGCAAACGAAAGCAAUUCACGAUUGAAGAAAAAACAAAUAUUAUUUUACGUUUAAAAAAAGGUGAAAAAAAUGGUGACAUAGCUAAUGAAUUAGGCGUUGGUCAUUCUACAAUUUCUAACAUAUGGAAAGCUCGAGAAAAAAUUGAACAGGAGUUUCAAAACGAAAAAUUAUCAGUUAAAAAACUUCGAAGUUGUACGCACACAGAUUUAGACAGCGUUUUACUACGGUGGUUUAAAGAUCAAAGAAAUUUAUGCAUUCCAAUUAAUGGACCGAUUCUUCAACAGAAAGCCAAUGAAUUAGCUGAAGGUCUUGGUAAGCAGAAUUUUAAUUGUUCAACUGGUUGGAUUCAAAGAUUUAGAUCAAGACAUAAUAGUGUUAUGUUAUCGAAAAUAAGUAGAAAAUCAAGUUCUGUUAACACUGAAAUAACACAAGAUUGGUUUGAAAAAGUAUGGCCAAAAUUACGAGAAGGAUACACAGAUGACCAAAUUUAUAAUGCCAAUGAGACUGGGCUUUUUUUCAAAAUGCUUCCUGAUAGAACAUCCAAAUUUAAAGGAGAUAAAUGCUCAGAUGGUAAAAUGUCUGAAGAACGACUUACUAUUUUAGUUUCAGCAAGUAUGACUGGUAAAAAAAUGAAACUAAUUGUAAUUGGAAAAUCCCGUGAACCGCGGUGUUUCAAAAAUAUCAAAAAUAUUGACUGUCUACCGGUAACAUACGAAUCAAAUUCCAAAGCUUGGAUGACUGCAGAAUUGUGGUCUAAAAUUGUAUUAAAUUGGGAUUUAGAAUUGGAAAGAAAAAAAGAAAAUAUCUUACUCUUAGUUGACAACUGCCCGGCGCAUACUAAUGUUGAAUUGCGCAAUAUCAAACUUGUAUUUUUACCCAGUAAUUGUACAUCUGUUCUUCAACCAAUGGAUCAAGGCAUAAUAAAAUGUAUGAAAACUUAUUUUCGAAGAAAUUUAAUGUUAAAAAUGAUCAAUAACAUAGAAAAUAAAAUUGAUACCAAUAUCAGCGUAUUAGAUGGCAUAUUAAUGAUUUUUCAAGCUUGGGAAAAAGUAUCAGAGAUUACAAUUCAAAACUGUUUUCGACACGCUGGUUUCAAAAAUGCUAUUCAACAUCAAGUGGUCCAAGAAGAACAACUAGAAGAAAUAAAUUUUCCAAUGAUUUGCCAAUUUGAUGAUUAUGUUAACUUUGAUAAUGAUGUGUUAAUUUCAGAGCCAUUAAGUGAAGAAAUUAUUUCCUCAAUGAAUAACCAACCCAAAGAACAAGAAGAGAAAGACGACAAUAGUGAAGAAGAUGAUACUCCCAAUGAAGAUUUAUCAAUCAGUUCAGUGUUCAAUGCAGUAAAAAUUGUAUCAAAUUAUAUGGCUCUGAAUAAUGUAAGUUUAAAAACAAAUUUCCAAGAAAUUGAAAAAAAAAUAUUGUUAGAUUUUUAUACAAAUAAAGUACAAACUAAGAUAACAGAUUUUUUUAAUACAAUUUAAAUUUAAUUUUAAAAUAAAAAAACUUUUUUCUUUUUUUCUUUAUGUAUUGAAAUCAUUAUUUAGUGAUAAAAAUAUGACAUUGGUUGUAAUACAGUAUUAUGUUCAUAUAAAUACAUAUACAUAUAUAUAAUCAAGUUUUUAAAUGUUAUUUUAUCCUUUUGGUUAUUAUGACUAAUUUUAACUGAUCCCUUGAAUGACAUAAAAAACUGUCUACUGUAUAUAAAAUAAUUUCGUUAUAAUAUGCCAUUAUGAAAUAUAUUUAAAAUUAUCGUUUUUCAAUAUAUAAUACAGUAUAAUGUAUAUUAUUAAAUACAGUUAUAAUUGUAGGCAUUUUUUUAGGUAUUAUUGUUGGUAUUUUGUUAUUUAAUUUAUUAUUUGUCACAAUGUCAGAUAACACUUGCAGUUGUUGCACUACUUUGUGCUUUUUGUGAUGGUUUAUUUUAUUCUGUGUGUGUACCUCAUGGUGUGAGUGUAUCCCAGCAGUGUACAGCAUCAAGAUCAGCCACGCACCAACAUUGAAAUUGAAAGUAUGCCUACUCAUCCUUACAAAGAUAUUUAAAACAUUUGGUUUAUUAAUAUAAACUAUUUAAUAUUUAUCAGUACUUAAUACAUUUUAAUUAUAGGAACAUAUGAGGAAGCUAGAAAUAAAUUACCACAAUAUGAUGACAAUGAUGAUGCUGAAAAGUUUAAUAUUGACAACCGGGGUUGUGGAAAGUGUAAGAAGAAACUAAGUACUGCGGAAAUAAGUAAAAAUUUAAGGGUAAUACAAUUUUUUCAACUUAUUAAGGUUUUCUAGUUAUCAAAUGAUUUAAGAGAAAAAUUUUAAAAUGUGUGUAUGUAUUAUAUUCAAAUUGUUAUUAUGAAUAUUAUUUACUAUCAAAUAAAAAAUAAUAAAUACAAUAAAUGUGUCAUGGGACACGCAAGUCUAUUAGACAAAUGAUUAUAAAAAUUAUCCCUCUAUAUUUGGACCAUAGAAUUUUUGAGUUAUUUAAAGUUUUUCUUUUGAGUAAUUAAGGUUUUCACAAGGGAACAAAAUUUAUUUUGACUUAAUGAAAAUCCACUGUACUUGGAAAAUUAAUUCAAAUUGAGAAUCAAAUAGUCAUUCACCAUCAAUGCUAUCCAUGCCAGAUCCUAUUUGGAUAAAAUCCCUUGGUGUGGAUUUUUUGAGGGUGAAGGGGAAAAGUGCUAGAUUAUUUAUUAUUUAUUUUAAUUUAUGUUUAAAUAAAAUAUGUUUUUUAUUAGAUCAUUCUUAUAGAACAAACAAAACUUUCUAUUAGUAACAAAACUCCAGUUUCACUAAAACAAAUAAGAAAUAUUAAAUUAUUCACCCUAGUCUCAGAAUUAAAAAUCAUUAGUUAGUCUUACAACUCCAGUUAGUCUUUCAAUUCCAGUGUCCAGAUUAAAACUCACUUCAAUAUUUGCCACUCAAAUUCCACUUGGAUAUAAUGGAUAUAAUAACAUUUUGAGUUUGACACAAAUUAAUUUAUUAGUCCAAGGUAAAUUAUUUAUGUUAUAUUUUCUUAGGAACCAUAAAUGUCAUACUUUAUAAGUAUAUGUAAAAUAUUUAUAUUUUAUUUUGUAUGUAGUGAAUAGUAUCAACCUUUAUCAGCUGUGGACUUGUCUUAUACUACAAUACAUUUAUUAAUUUAUUACAACAAGGCCAACACCAUGUAACUAAUAAAAUAUUAACAAAAUUAAUCAUGAGCAAUGGUGAUUCUAAACCCCAAUCAAUAAUCAGACAAAAAUAUUCUGAACAUUUCAUUUUAACAGGUAAAUCUGUUGCUGAGGUGUGGUAUAUUUUUUUUUUAUACUAAAUUGUCUGAAAACUUAAUAAAAU